Molecule: ribosomal RNA, 119 nt
Filed under: Octopus bimaculoides (California two-spot octopus)
Lineage: Eukaryota; Metazoa; Mollusca; Cephalopoda; Octopoda; Octopodidae
Source: RNAcentral
GCUUACGGUCAUAUCAUGCUGAGAGCACCGGUUCUCGUCCGAUCACCGAAGUUAAGCAACGUCGAGCCUAGUGAGUACUUAGAUGGGUGACCGCUUGGGAAACCUAGGUGCUGUCAGCG